AUGGAGCAGUCCACCUGGCCAGACCUCCCACCGGACGUGCUCCAUGACAUCUCCAGUCGCCUUCGCGAUGCGGUCGACUUCCUCCGUUUCAGCGCCGUCUGCAGGCCGUGGCGCGACUCAUCCAAGCCGAUCCACUCCUUCCCACCGUGGCUCCUCCCCACGCCGGAGGAAGACUCCGUCCCACUAAGGUUCAGGUGCCUCUUCUCCAAGUCCAGCUACCGCGCGUUGCUGCCUAUCGCCGAAUCCGGGAGGAGGAUCUGGCUGUCUACUCACGAUGCAACCACCAUCCGGUACCUCACGGUCGAACAUCGCCGCCCUAGCCUGCACGACCCUCUAACCGGAGCCGUCACCCGUCUGCCUCUCUUGCCGCAUAAGUGCUGCGUGGACGGCCGAUGGGAGGAAAACCUCCACGGCGCUGUCUAUGCUGAUGGUACGACCCUUCUCUACGGUGUCUCCACCGUCUUCGAGGACACCAAGACCAUAGCCAGCUUCACGGCGGUGCUCCUGCAACCUGGUGAUGCAGAGUGGACGUUCGUGGAGACGAUCUUUGAGAACACCAAUAGGAGCCGAGAGUACUGCGCCACUUACCGUAAUGGCAGAAUCCUGGUAACUAUUGAGUCUAGCGUGUGGCAAAUCUCUACACAGCGGGGGGUUGACAACAUGGGGAUCCCAUUGCAGCGGCUACCAACUAUGUGUGGAAAUUACUUGGAGCAAUACAGUUACCUCCUUGAGUCCCGUGGCGAGCUUUUGUGGGCGACCAUCCAUGUCCGGACAUACUACAAUGAUUCGCGCAGGUUCUCCAUGUGGGUGUGCGCGCUAGACGGGGAUAAGAGACAGUGGGUGAGAAAGGAUGGCUACAGCCUGGCCGAUCGCGCCCUCUUCUUGGGGUCGCCCAACAGCUUUGCCAUCGACGCCUCCGUGCUUGUUGGCCAUGGAGGCUCCGUCUACUUCGUCUACACCAAUAGUAAGGCCGCGCCAUAUAAGCAAUACGGUGUGUUCAGGUACAACCUUGUCAAUGAUGAAGUCAAGUUCAUUGAGCGGCUGCCUCAAGGAUGGAAUUGCGAGAAGUGCACUUGGCUCAUCCCAGAAACAAUCAUGGCUCCGGUUCAGGAAAUCAAUAGGAGCUCUCUGGAAGCUCGUGGCGUGAAGAGGCAAGAGAUUACGUGUCCAACACACGUCAUUCACGUCGAGAGAUAUUAUGAGCCUUGUUUCAAGGUGUUGGUGUACAACCUACCUCUCACCGUGAAAAGCUCUCAGCUGCGACUCUUGUUCGGCAAACAUGGUAAAGUGUUCAGCACCGAGGUGAUCUGCGAUAAGAAGACCAAGCGCUCACGAUAUAUCGGCCACGUAACUAUGUCAACAUCCCAUGCCCACCUAGAAGAUGCUCUAGAUGCUCUCAGUGGCUUGGUUUUGGAAGGUUGCAAUCUCCACAUUAACAUGGUUAAGGAGGGGCGUCCACAGCAGCAGCGGAAGAAGCUACCCUCUUUCAUCGGAGCAGCAGCGCAGCUACAUAUAGGUCCAUUCUCCUGGCUCUGGUUAUAA
Molecule: ribosomal RNA, 1542 nt
Filed under: Triticum aestivum (bread wheat)
Lineage: Eukaryota; Viridiplantae; Streptophyta; Magnoliopsida; Poales; Poaceae
Description: partial small subunit ribosomal RNA
Source: RNAcentral